GAUUGAACAUGGACCACCAGCACUGCCACCAAAGGAUAUGACAGAGAUGUUUAAAACAUUUUUUAUCUUAUUUUUUCCCCCGACGUUUGCAUGAAGAGUAUACUGCCCGCACUGUCUUCUGUCACGAAAGAAUUGUAGACCAUUUGCUGAA
Microtus oregoni (creeping vole) is the source of this 151-nucleotide long non-coding RNA. RefSeq lists it as uncharacterized. NCBI's taxonomy places the organism in Eukaryota, Metazoa, Chordata, Mammalia, Rodentia, Cricetidae. The record is from RefSeq and is a predicted model, not a curated record. The transcript is spliced from 3 exons.